Strigops habroptila (Kakapo) is the source of this 599-nucleotide long non-coding RNA. RefSeq lists it as uncharacterized. The transcript has 3 exons. The record is from RefSeq and is a predicted model, not a curated record. Lineage: Eukaryota; Metazoa; Chordata; Aves; Psittaciformes; Psittacidae.
AGUACUGAUACAGAGGCUUGAAGGGCUGGAGAUGCUCUGGAGAGGAAACUGUCAGCUCUUGAAGAGCAAAGGGCUUCACAGGCAGAAUGAGAUGCAGCAGCAACAUGACCCAGACCUGUAAAUAUCUGGAGGAGAAGAGAUCAUGGGAAGAGGUGUUGAUGCAAACCCCAGGGCAAAAAGCCAGCUGUGCUGAACAGCAGUAACAAUGUGUCUAGAUCCACCCAAAACCCCAAAGCCAAAUCAGCUUUGGGAUGGAAUAGAGGAAUUUCAUUUUUCCUCACUUUCACUGCUGGGACAGACAGCCUUCCUCCCUUAUGAGUGUGGUCCCACAAAGAAUUUCAUUAAGAAGUGGGAGAGAGCAGUGGAUUGCUGUGCUGGGGUUAAUCCUCCAGGCAGAAGAGUCCUCCAGCCAGAAGGAGAGGAUUUCUUCAGCCAGGAUUGCACCAAGGCAAACGUGUUGUAGAACUGUACCUUCCAACAUGCAGAAUUAUGACUUCCCUCCCUGGCUCAAAGUCAGAACCAGGUCUCUCAGGGUCUCCAUUUGCUAUUCUGUUCUCUAGAUCCUCAUAGCCUUCAUUUUAAAAAUUAUUGUAGGCAAG